AAUGUACUCCCUCCGUUCCAAAUUACUCGUAGCUGAAAUGGAUGUAUCUAGAACUAAAUACAUCUAGGUACAUCCAUAUGUGCGACAAGUAAUUCGGAACGGAGGGAGUACCAG
Molecule: non-coding RNA, 114 nt
Organism: Triticum aestivum (bread wheat)
Lineage: Eukaryota; Viridiplantae; Streptophyta; Magnoliopsida; Poales; Poaceae
Source: Rfam